AGUGAACGCUGGCGGUAGGCCUAACACAUGCAAGUCGAACGGCAGCACAGCAAGAGCUUGCUCUUACGGGUGGCGAGUGGCGGACGGGUGAGGAAUACAUCGGAAUCUACUUUUUCGGGGGGGAUAACGUAGGGAAACUUACGCUAAUACCGCGUACGACCUACGGGUGAAAGCAGGGGAUCUUCGGACCUUGCGCGAAUGAAUGAGCCGAUGUCGGAUUAGCUAGUUGGCGGGGUAAAGGCCCACCAAGGCGACGAUCCGUAGCUGGUCUGAGAGGAUGAUCAGCCACACUGGAACUGAGACACGGUCCAGACUCCUACGGGAGGCAGCAGUGGGGAAUAUUGGACAAUGGGCGCAAGCCUGAUCCAGCCAUACCGCGUGGGUGAAGAAGGCCUUCGGGUUGUAAAGCCCUUUUGUUGGGAAAGAAAAGCAGCAGGUUAAUACCCCGCUGUUCUGACGGUACCCAAAGAAUAAGCACCGGCUAACUUCGUG
This 492-nucleotide ribosomal RNA is filed under the name uncultured bacterium. RNAcentral's name for it is "partial 16S ribosomal RNA". It matches the Rfam family "Bacterial small subunit ribosomal RNA", at positions 29 to 507 of the family's 1533-position model. The record is from RNAcentral.